UUUUUGGAGUGUCUUUGACCGAUUUCUCCAAAAGAGACAGUUGCCCCAGUCUCUAAAUCCUAAUUGGCUUUGUAGAAGUUAGCCGAAAAGGGCCAGGCCAAGGGUACUAAAAAAGAGGCAACUGAGCAGGCCGCUAUUCCGGCCAACACUCUCGAGGCCGUUGCCAUACUGGCUUUGGCCGCGUUUGUUUCAAGGUCGAUUAUCACUUGUUCACCUAUCAUUUUGGAUGAAAAGGUAUAACUCAUUUCUUUUUUUGCCAAACUUUAAGACCUGGUUUGGGAGUGAGGUGCUUAAAAAAAAGCACCCAUGAAAAAAAGCUGUAAGAGUUUUAGGUGUUUGGUAAACUGAAAAAAAAUGGCUUAUUUUGGAAGUUGCUGUGAGAAUAAGCUGAAAUCAAAGGAAAAAGCUGAAGCUGCUAUUUGCAGCUUUGGAAAACUGGCUUUUUUUCAAAGCACACGGAGCUACAGUGCUCCUUUAAUGAAAAGACCCACUAUCAGACUACUUUUUUUCCAAAAGCACUUUUACAAAAAAGUUUACCAAACACUCUGCUGCUUUAUUUCACAGCCGCUUAUUCUCACAGCACAGCCGCUUAUUCUCACAGCAGUUUUUUUUCAAAGCACAGCAAUACCAAACCAGCCCUAAAUCUCUUUUAAAACAACUAACUCUUCAUUUGUAUCGAAUGAAAGUAAGGUUGAAUCGGCUGGAUUACUGCUGAGAUGGAAAUCACCAGCGAAUAAGCCUUACAAAGAAAAUGUUCCUUGCCCCAAGAUUAGGGUAAGGACAAGAUUGACACAGUUCAUCCCCUAGCCUUAUUUACCCCUCCUGCUGCCUCAUUUGAACCAACCUCGACCAAGACGACGCGACCACAUCCUCAAAAGGUUAAGACCUGUAUAUUUGGGCAAAAGGUUUCCUCAGCUUGUUAAAGUUCGAAAACCUACCUUGAUAGUUUUAUUUUUUAAGUAUUAUAGGCUAAAAUAACAAAACAAAUCUCAAGGGCGAAGAUGGUCAUACCAUU
Molecule: long non-coding RNA, 1015 nt
Filed under: Malus domestica (apple)
Lineage: Eukaryota; Viridiplantae; Streptophyta; Magnoliopsida; Rosales; Rosaceae
Description: long non-coding RNA (MDOM_LNC021082)
Source: RNAcentral